This 460-nucleotide ribosomal RNA is filed under the name uncultured bacterium. RNAcentral describes it as "partial 16S ribosomal RNA". It matches the Rfam family "Bacterial small subunit ribosomal RNA", at positions 28 to 505 of the family's 1533-position model. The record is from RNAcentral.
GACGAACGCUGGCGGCGUGCUUAACACAUGCAAGUCGAGCGGAAAGGCCCUUCGGGGUACUCGAGCGGCGAACGGGUGAGUAACACGUUAGUAACGUGCCCCAGACAUUGGCAUAACCCUCGGAAACGGGGGCUAAUACCGGAGACGCCACAGCUUGGCACGGGGUGUGUGGGGAAAGGUGUUCGGUUUGGGAUGGGGUCGGGGCCUAUCAUCUUGUUGGUGGGGUGAUGGCCUACCAAGGCGACGGCGUGUAGCCGGCCUGAGGGGGAGACCGGCCACACUGGGGAUGGGACACGGCCCAGGAUCCUACGGGAGGGAGGAGUGGGGAAUAUUGCAGCAUGGGCGGAAGGCUGAUGGGGCGACGGCGCGGGGGGGAUGACGGCCUUCGGGUUGUAAACCUCUUUCAGCCGGGAAGAAGCGUAAGUCACGGUACGUGGAGAAGACGCGCGCGAACACUAUG